This 445-nucleotide ribosomal RNA is filed under the name uncultured bacterium. RNAcentral's name for it is "partial 16S ribosomal RNA". It matches the Rfam family "Bacterial small subunit ribosomal RNA", at positions 354 to 796 of the family's 1533-position model. The record is from RNAcentral.
GUGAGGAAUAUUGCGCAAUGGAGGCAACUCUGACGCAGCCAUGCCGCGUGCAGGAAGAAGGCGCUACGCGUUGUAAACUGCUUUUAACCGGGAAGAAACCCCAGGACGUGUCCUGGGUUGACGGUACCGGAGGAAUAAGCACCGGCUAACUUCGUGCCAGCAGCCGCGGUAAUACGAAGGGUGCAAGCGUUAUCCGGAUUCAUUGGGUUUAAAGGGUGCGUAGGAGGAGCGUUAAGUCAGUGGUGAAAUCCUGCAGCUUAACUGUAGACUUGCCAUUGAUACUGGCGCUCUUGAGUGCGCUUGAAGUGGGCGGAAUGUGCCGUGUAGCGGUGAAAUGCUUAGAUAUGGCACAGAACACCAAUUGCGAAGGCAGCUCACUAAGGCGAUACUGACGCUGAGGCACGAAAGCGUGGGGAUCGAACAGGAUUAGAAACCCCGGUAGUCC